RNAcentral lists this long non-coding RNA (1524 nucleotides) under Homo sapiens (human). RNAcentral describes it as "novel transcript". Lineage: Eukaryota; Metazoa; Chordata; Mammalia; Primates; Hominidae. The record is from RNAcentral.
AGGGAUCUGAGACCCGCAGUAUGGCAGUGACAAGAUCCAAGUCUUGGGACACCUAGCCAGGAGGGAAGAAUUUGAGGGAGAGGUGGAAAAUAUGCGAGGCUGAACUGACCUUCAAGGACAAGAAGGCUGUGUUCAGAUAGACAGAGUUUGUCUUCUGGGAGAGGAGUGGGCUUAUCCAGGAUGAUCCCAAAGGCAGAUUGAGGACCAGUGGGAGGACAUCCUGAGAAAGCAGAUCCAGCUUUAGGCAAGGAAGGACUUCGUAACAGGCAGAGAGCCCAUGUUGGAAACAAGCAGCUCUGCAAGGUGUGGGCCCACUGUCUGACUCCCUGCGGGGCUGCUGCCUUGGAAGAGCCUCCUGCUUAGAGAGGUUCUCCUGCCGCCAGCUGUCUCUCCUGAGUCCUGAGCACCACAUCUCUGGACCGUCUGGAGCCUCCCCUCCCUUGGCUUACUGCUCCCACCACCCUCUCUCUCCACCUUGCAAGAGACACUCUCCCUCAUCCUGGGUCAUCACCCUCUUUAGAGGCGCCGCCUGGCCACGAGGUGGGCAGGAUCUUGGCCUUACUUGAUGCAGUGCACACCUCCAACAGGCAUCAGAUGGAGUGCAGCCGGGAGCAAGAUUCUCAUAGCAAUUACAAAGAUUCACAAGAAAAUGUGCCCUCCACUACACAGCUGUAAUUUACAUGCUUUCAAACUUGAUAUGGAAUGACUGUGGUUUCCCCUGAAAGAAGCAUCACUGAUCUCUGCACAGGAGAAACAAGGGUGUGUUAGGAGUUACAUCCACUAACCUCUGGGGCUAGAAUGUUCCUCCUAAUCCCGGAUUACCAGCUUACAACCCCAAUGCCCACUUUCUCAAACAAGCCUCGUCUUUUUAAAGACAGGAUCUUGCUCUGUCACCUAGGCUGGAGUGCAAUGGCACACUCACGGCUCACUGCAGCGUCAAACUCCCAGGCUCAAGUGUUCCUCCUACCUCAGCCUCCUGAGUAGCUAGGACCACAGGCCCAGACACAAAGCAGAUGUGCAGUGGAGUGUGAAAGAGGCAGCCAACUCACUGGGGAGCUUCAGAGGGAGAUGGCCCAAAUUGCUGGGGCCUAAGAAUCUCCCGGAAUGAAGGAACAGUAGAAAGAACUGGAAGCCAAAUAUGGUGAUAGAGACUCUCAUCAAGGACACUGAGUAAACCAGAAACCUGCUUGGGCUCACGUUCCUUGUCUCUUCUUCUCAGAUCCAGGAAAGGAGCUGUCCAGGACAAUGAGGAUAGGCUGAGGAAAGACAGGCCACGGCCUUGCCUCUGUGCCAGCUCUCAUGGGCCAGGCAGAGUAUCCCAGGACAACUGCCUCCACAACCAGCUCCAUCCUUCAUCAGCAAUUCAGUACCUGAUUAACAAAUCUGUACCCCAGGAGGUUAUGCCAAGUCCAACUUCUUCCAGAGACCACAACAAUAAAUCCAAGCCACUGCUAAUGUCAUUUAUAAGCUGUGGGAUUAAAACAGAGAAGCAAUCAAUUAAUUAAAAUUAGCUCUUUAUUGAAA